Molecule: ribosomal RNA, 513 nt
Filed under: uncultured bacterium
Lineage: Bacteria
Description: partial 16S ribosomal RNA
Rfam family: Bacterial small subunit ribosomal RNA
Source: RNAcentral
GAUGAACGCUGGCGGCGUGCCUAAUACAUGCAAGUCGAGCGAACAGACGAGGAGCUUGCUCCUCUGACGUUAGCGGUGGACGGGUGAGUAACACGUGGAUAACCUACCUAUAAGACUGGGAUAACUUCGGGAAACCGGAGCUAAUACCGGAUAACCUGUUGAACCGCAUGGUUCAACAGUGAAAGACGGUCUUGCUGUCACUUAUAGAUGGAUCCGCGCCGCAUUAGCUAGUUGGUAAGGUAACGGAUUACCAAGGCAACGAUGCGUAGCCGACCUGAGAGGGUGAUCGGCCACACUGGAACUGAGACACGGUCCAGACUCCUACGGGAGGCAGCAGUAGGGAAUCUUCCGCAGUGGGCGAAAGCCUGACGGAGGAACGCCGCGUGAGUGAAGAAGGUCUUCGGAUCGUAAAACUCUGUUAUUAGGGAAGAACAAAUGUGUAAGUAACUAUGCACGUCUUGACGGUACCUAAUCAGAAAGCCACGGCUAACUACGUGCCAGCCGCCGCCGUAA